ACGGCAGACAAAUGGCAGAGCCGGGAUUCACACGUAGUUUGUGACACUGGAACCGACUUUACGAUGCCAGGCUUGUAAGACCCGUGAUGAUCUUUGAAAAUACGAUGAAUACCCACCUGCCUGGGUCGAGCUUGGGUGCGACUACUUGGAG
Molecule: long non-coding RNA, 151 nt
Organism: Tachyglossus aculeatus (Australian echidna)
Lineage: Eukaryota; Metazoa; Chordata; Mammalia; Monotremata; Tachyglossidae
Exons: 3
Source: RefSeq, a predicted model, not a curated record